This 940-nucleotide ribosomal RNA is filed under the name Lacticaseibacillus rhamnosus. Its description in RNAcentral is "bacterial SSU rRNA". It matches the Rfam family "Bacterial small subunit ribosomal RNA", at positions 500 to 1440 of the family's 1533-position model. The record is from RNAcentral. Lineage: Bacteria; Bacillati; Bacillota; Bacilli; Lactobacillales; Lactobacillaceae.
ACUACGUGCCAGCAGCCGCGGUAAUACGUAGGUGGCAAGCGUUAUCCGGAUUUAUUGGGCGUAAAGCGAGCGCAGGCGGUUUUUUAAGUCUGAUGUGAAAGCCCUCGGCUUAACCGAGGAAGUGCAUCGGAAACUGGAAAACUUGAGUGCAGAAGAGGACAGUGGAACUCCAUGUGUAGCGGUGAAAUGCGUAGAUAUAUGGAAGAACACCAGUGGCGAAGGCGGCUGUCUGGUCUGUAACUGACGCUGAGGCUCGAAAGCAUGGGUAGCGAACAGGAUUAGAUACCCUGGUAGUCCAUGCCGUAAACGAUGAAUGCUAGGUGUUGGAGGGUUUCCGCCCUUCAGUGCCGCAGCUAACGCAUUAAGCAUUCCGCCUGGGGAGUACGACCGCAAGGUUGAAACUCAAAGGAAUUGACGGGGGCCCGCACAAGCGGUGGAGCAUGUGGUUUAAUUCGAAGCAACGCGAAGAACCUUACCAGGUCUUGACAUCUUUUGAUCACCUGAGAGAUCAGGUUUCCCCUUCGGGGGCAAAAUGACAGGUGGUGCAUGGUUGUCGUCAGCUCGUGUCGUGAGAUGUUGGGUUAAGUCCCGCAACGAGCGCAACCCUUAUGACUAGUUGCCAGCAUUUAGUUGGGCACUCUAGUAAGACUGCCGGUGACAAACCGGAGGAAGGUGGGGAUGACGUCAAAUCAUCAUGCCCCUUAUGACCUGGGCUACACACGUGCUACAAUGGAUGGUACAACGAGUUGCGAGACCGCGAGGUCAAGCUAAUCUCUUAAAGCCAUUCUCAGUUCGGACUGUAGGCUGCAACUCGCCUACACGAAGUCGGAAUCGCUAGUAAUCGCGGAUCAGCACGCCGCGGUGAAUACGUUCCCGGGCCUUGUACACACCGCCCGUCACACCAUGAGAGUUUGUAACACCCGAAGCCGGUGGCGUAACC